This 443-nucleotide ribosomal RNA is filed under the name uncultured bacterium. Its description in RNAcentral is "partial 16S ribosomal RNA". It matches the Rfam family "Bacterial small subunit ribosomal RNA", at positions 338 to 795 of the family's 1533-position model. The record is from RNAcentral.
CCUACGGGGGGCAGCAGUGGGGAAUAUUGGGCAAUGGAGGCAACUCUGACCCAGCAACGCCGCGUGAAUGAUGAAGGUCCUCGGAUUGUAAAGCUCUUUUCUAAGGGAAGAAGAAAGUGACGGUACCUUAGGAAUAAGCCUCGGAUAACUACGUGCCAGCAGCCGCUGUAAUACGUAGGCGGCAAGCGUUCUCCGGAAUGACUGGGCGUAAAGGUUGCGUAGGUGGUUUGACAAGGUGGUCGCGAAACUCCGGAUCCCAACUACGGAACGACUACCAAAACUGUUGGACUAGAGUGCAGGGGGGGCAGGUGGAAUGUCUAGUGUAGCGGUGGAAUGCGUAGAGAUUAGGAAGAACACCGGUGGCGAAGGCAGGUUGCUGGACUGUAACUGACACUGAGGCACGAAAGCGUGGGGAGCAAACAGGAUUAGAUACCCCUGUAGUC